Pezoporus occidentalis (night parrot) is the source of this 1145-nucleotide long non-coding RNA. RefSeq lists it as uncharacterized. The record is from RefSeq and is a predicted model, not a curated record. Lineage: Eukaryota; Metazoa; Chordata; Aves; Psittaciformes; Psittacidae. The transcript has 2 exons.
GGUCCUGUCUUCCCUGUGGCCGUGGGUGGGACGUGGUGGACGGAAGCCCUGUGCUGGGUAUGGGGCCAGCCCUGUGGCACCCCUGUCUGUGAGGGCACCCCGUGGUGUGGGGGCUCAAAAAGGGGACUGCCUGGCCUUGUGUUUUCUGGGGGUCAGUGCUAUGAAGGGAUGGGGGGAGAAACGAACAAGAGGCCCAGAGCUUGUUGAAGGGCAGCCUGUACAUCACAGUUAAUGCGAGGCUCUUUCCAAAACAAAGGCUCUCUAUGGCUUUCAACAUAUUUACACAACAGUGCACAGAAAGAGCAGCGAAGUGCCAUCUAAAGGAUUCCCUCCCCACCUCCAACCUCUUUGCCUUCCCUCACACAGUACAUCUUCAGCACCCUCUCCUUCUCCUCAGACCUUUUUUUUGCUACAAAUUCGUAUUUUUCUCUCCUGACACAUGCUUUACCUUUGAGGGACUUCCCAAGGCUUUGCUGUGAGGCAUUCACAGGUGUGGUGCCCCAUACGCUCCCAGUUGAGGACACUCAAUGGAGAAGCUCAUGAAUACGGGAGUUCUAACACACUUCCAAGGUCUUCCAGCUAGGGCUCCUUUUUCACCUGUACACCCCAUAGCCCCAGAGGCUCCCAUUACACUCCAGGACCCUGAUAAUGACUGCAAACAGCCAGGAGAAAACUGAACAACUCCAGUGAGAGUGUAACUGCCUUCAAAGCUAGCAGUGCCAGCAUGAAAGACUGUUUUCAGUAUGAACAGCCUUUCCACCAUCACAUGCCUCACGCAGGUGCACAUCUUUUGCAAAGGCCCAGGGGACUGAAACAGCUCUGCAAGGCCUUAAGAGAAGGGAAAUUGUUAUCAGAGUCUCCUGUUGACUCCACAGCCCACCAAGGAGGCUGCUGGCUUCUGCAGGCCAUCCCCCAUCUGUUGGAAUAGCAGGAAGUUUUGCGUUAGCAAUAAAAAAUACAAAAAGCUGGAGUCCAACUGGUGACUGAAGUCUGGUGUCAGGCUCCGCUGCAGAGAUAUCACAGCUGUGUACAGUGCCUGCUCUCAAAGAGGUGCUUAUUAAACAUUUGCCUUGGGUUUAUUUUCCCCGUUUGCUAAAACCAAACAUUCACAACAAGAUUCUAUAAGGGAGGGCUGCAAAUCAGAA